Molecule: long non-coding RNA, 6553 nt
Filed under: Citrus x clementina
Lineage: Eukaryota; Viridiplantae; Streptophyta; Magnoliopsida; Sapindales; Rutaceae
Description: Citrus clementina (C. clementina) long non-coding RNA (CCLE_LNC001103)
Source: RNAcentral
CCUCCACAUCAUCAAAGCCAAACCAAAUCUUCCCAAUCGAGCAGUAAUUCACCACAUAAGUUGAAUUGUACAUAACUUGAACAUUAGGACCAUAGGUCUUGAUGCGAUUCUUGAUUUCCUUAUAAGUCACAACGCCGUUAUCAUGCAAAGCUGGUCCUGUUGCUGCUGCACCAAUACCAUUGUCCUCUGGUUUCACAAGCGUCCAUGCAUAGCCAUAGAAAGGCAAAGACAUAACCAACUUAUCUGCCGAUAACCCUCUCUGUAUCCAUGCCUUUAAAACCUGAUCGGUACUUUUAGCAAAGCCGCCGCUACUUGAGCCAUGGAGAGCCGCAGGUGGCGCAGUGAAGUUUGUUGACAAAGGCUUGUAGUAGUUAGCAGUAACUGCAUGAACCCAAUUCAAGUUUCGUUGCAUCGAAUUCAAAAGAUAUGAAUUCGCUGGUGGUGAAUAACGAAAUCUUGCGGUCAAAAUCAGCGGGGAUUGCUGGCGACUAGAGUUUUUUGCCUCUAAUUUUGUAGCAGCAAUUCGCCACUCGUCAAAAAGUAAACCAAUAUUGAACAUAUCGGUGCUUGUGUUAGGAGCUGUCCAAGCAAAGUCUAGGCCCUGAAAGCCAUAAAGCCUAGCCAUUCUUAUUGAAGAGUCGAUGAAAGAUUCUCUGUGAGAAGAAUUUCUCACCAUUGAAGAAUAAAUAGAAUAGUUUGUAUCCAUUCCUUGUCCAAUGGAGAGAAGUAUAGUGAUUGAUGGGUUCUUUUUUUUCACAGUGUCUGCGAAUUUGGCGAUUUGAUUUUCAUCGGACGGUAAUGAUAAAGAUAGCUGGUAAGUGGUGGAAUUGAUAUCAGCAGAAGAGCAAAUAAGGUGAGUGAAGAGAUCAUAAUUUAUGCCCGAAAUGGUGGACACUUCGCUUAGAUUCAAGUAACCGACCCUAAUCCACGGUUUUGCUUUCGCGGGAUGAAGUUCUGAAUAGAGCAACGCGUGGAAGAUGAUGCUGAUAAUUAUGGAUGCCAUUUGAGACUUUGUUAGGAAUGGAAAUGGAUCCACAGGAGAGAAAUUAAAUAAACACUAGUUUCACAGUUCAUUUGAGUUCUUAUGUAAACUAUUAACGCAUAGGUUCAUUUCGUUCCAAAAAAAUCUUAUGUGCUCCUGAUAGGGACACAUACAUUGCAUGUUAAGAUGAUGAUAGGCUGAGAACUAAGAUUUUCUUCCAUCGCUUGGGUGACCUUUCAUGAAGAAAAAUGAUGUUUUGAUUUGCAUUUGGUUAAACUGAUGACAUAUUUCGGGCAAUAAAUAUCAGUAUUGUUUUAUUAAAUAAUAAAAAAAUUAAUUUUACAUGUACGUUGAAAGUUAAUAACUUAAUAUUGCAGUCUUUUGAGCCUGUGUUGACGUUUAUUCGGGUGUAUUCGUUUAUUAUAUAUUCCCGUUUUUCUCCCCGUGUCUGUUUUGCUACAGUGCUCUUAAAAGGAUAACAUCUUUAAUACACCUCAGAAGUAGUUAAGAAAGUCUUGAUAAAAAACCAGACAUUUUCUUUAUACUCAAAAAGUAGUUAUUGGACUAAUUAAGAUUCUAAUCCCUUUAAGAAAUAUUCAAAAGGGGUUAUUGUCACUACUUUAGUCCUUGUUGUUUUAUUUCAAAAGUUAUUUCACACUAGUGUUUAAUAUAAGAUACAAUACUACCAAAAUUCUACUCAAUAGUUUAUUUAAAAUAGUAUUGACUAUUAAAAAUAAGAAUUUACACUAAUAUUAAAUUCAACAAUUAGUAACAUUAUUUAAAAUAAUUAUAGUAUUUAAAUGGUUAUUUAUCUUUAUUAAAUAAGAUUUAACAUAAUCCUCUGCGACAUUUUACUAAAUAAGUACAGUUUUAUAUAUAAUUCAAUCUAAUCGUAAAAAAUAAUUUAUUCCAAUCCUACCUUCCAAACAUAGACAUAGUAGACAAUGAGAGCAUGAGUUAAGAGAUUAUAAAUCAUGGACCAAGGGACUAAAGAUACGGACCUUGAGAUCAUAUAUCGUGGACUAUUAGAGACUAAUGACCGUGGACAAAUCUUAGUACAUAAAAAAGGGAAUUUUAGUCAAAUGUAGUUUGAUAUUAAGGAAUUCAGCAAGCAAGCUACAAGAAUAUCCAAAAGCGUGUAAUUUAUGUUUAAGGAAAUAAGUGGAGAUAGAGAUGAAAUUGCAAAUUCAUCCCAAUCUUAAGUGGUUUAAUUCAAGAUGUAUGUUACCUACAAGCACAGUAAGCACGGUGAUGUCUCUCUUUAACACAGGGGACACAACAAAAACACUGUUAUUUUCUACCCUUUUAAAAAAUUCCAAUAAUAUGUACACGUUAUACAUACAUGCAUCACAUACGUGCGUCGAUCAUCGAUGUAAAACUAACAGCAAAUUUCUAGUAAAACAAACAUCAUUACUUUUAGUAGAAGAUAUAAAAAAUAUCAAUUAGUAACCAUUAGAAAAUAAAAAUUUAUGUAAUUGAUGCAGAUAAAUGGAAUCAAGUAGUAACAUUUCCUUCUCUUUGAAGAGAAAAGAUUAAAAACAAAAAGGGGGGCGGAGCGCAAACAUGACAAUUUUUUUUAUCCGCACAUGCCAUGAUAAUCGAUAAUCCGAUAUACCAACCGCGUCUAAUUGUCUGAAUUCUCCAGCUUAUCAAGCUUGCUCAAUUGCACCGACAGACACUGACCAUGGGAGAUUAAUCACCACUCGCAGUAUUAGAUGCGUGAAGGACACAUUCGCCAAUAAUUUAUAGCGGACAGUAGCAUUCCCCAUGCCGCACGGAGAAAAAUAGUUGGAUUUGCGUAAGUUAAAUUGACUUGACUCGAAUGGUGGUGGUUGCUGUUAAGCGGUCAGUACUUCUGGCGACUGCUUGGCUUACACGCAGUUCUUGGGGGUGUCAUUUGACUGUGAAAAAGAAUUUUGGCUUUAUUGAUAUCAUGUUGGCUUUGGAAUUUUGGAUGGCUUCGUUUGGACCAUAAGACACGAUAUCGUUCAUAACACGUUAGCAGUCCUUCUCACGGGAGAAAAACUGGGGUGGGGGCAGAUGUACCGUAUCAACUGCCGUUUAGCAAGUCCUGCUCUCGUAUGGAGUCACCACUUUGACCAGCACUUUAUCCCUUAUGGACCGAUCCGGUGCGAGCAGGGAUUGGUCUGGGUUGUGGUACGAGUUUAAAAGUGUCUCCCACAAUUGGGGUCCACUCAAGACCACCUCGUGGUUCAGACCACAAACAAAAUUGUCGUUUAGCAGAUCAUAUGAGUCCUCAAAGUGUCACUUACAAUUUUUUUUAUUAUAAAUGACUGUCAAAUAAUUAAUCAAAAUUUUAUUAUUUACGGUUAUAAUUAGAAUGAUAAAAGUUGUACAGUUACAUCCACAUAUAAGUUUAUCUUUAAAGGAUAGGGGCAAUGAAUAUAACCGUAUAAGUUAUAACCUCAUAUAAGUUUCUUUCUUCUUAUGGAUAUAACUGUAUAUGGGUGGCGUUAUAUAGUGCCCCACAGAGGCUCUUUAAAAUUAUUUUAUGUACAUUUUAAACAUUCCCUCUUUAUUGAUUUGAAACACCAAAAAUACCUCUCUUAAAUUUUAAAAAUAUAUAAAAUAAAAAAAAUUACAUGUUAAAACUAUGCUUGAUGUCUCUAGCCUAACAGUUAGCACACGUAUUGUACACUUUCACCUUUUUCUUCUCAAAUUUUUUACUCCUCUUUUCUCUAAUUCUUCACACUUCGCUACUAUCUCUAGAAGCUUAUUACUAAUUUUCUGAUCAAAUUACUUAUAUAAGUACUCUUAGUUGAUUAUCACUUCUUUAAUUUUUUUUGGAGAUUUCUCUUAAAUGAAAGAAUUAAGGUUAUGUUCUAGAAAAUUUUUAACUCCCAUAUUAUAGUUUUGAUAAUGAGAUUAUCCUUAAAUUUUCAACAUAUGAAAAUACUUCGAAACAACUAUAAAUGUGUUGAAUGAAAUAUUCUAAUAAAUUUAGAUUUUAGUACUUAUUAUUUAUUAAUUUUUUUUUAAAUUACAUUACUAAUUACUACUUGAGCUUAGCCCUUGUGACAUUAAAUUGCUGAUAGCGCCACUAAAUGUAAGUUUUAAACUCAUGUUCGAUUUCUCCCAUGUGUAAACUCUGCCUUUAAUUUAUUAUUUAGUGAUAUUACAUUGCAUUAAUUAAUACAAUACAAAUUGUUUACUAACAGAGCCUCAAGAGAGUAAUUUAUUAUUUAGUUGGCAAAUUAAACAACUGCAGCAGUCACUAGCAGCUGGCCAAGAGCUAGCAUAGAUCAAUUGUUCAUCUACCUACCACUUGUGAAAUUGUUACAUCAUUACUUGAACAUAUUUCCAAUCCAAUCGUGGUUUUGUUUUGUUCGUCUUCAAAAGCUUUGUUUGAGAAACUCGCAGGCUUCUUUGGAGUCAUUAUAUCAGCUGUAUUCUCAUUUUCGAGCAUCGAAGAAAUUUCCAGUAUAGAAGGUCUAUCGUUUGGGUUCUCCUGAACACAUAGCAAAGCUACUUGGAGACAUGUCAAUAAUUUCCACGAGGAAUUCGUUUCAUCUAGUGAUGGAUCCAUUAACUCCACGCCUUUCCCAUUCUUCCACAACUCGUAUGCCUGAAAACAUCAAAUAUGUUAUUGAGUUACAUUCAAUUGAUUAGCACUAUAAUGUUUUGAUUCAGUGUGUAUUAGAAAGGGGGUUAUGAAGAAACUUACAUACUCUACAAGGCUUAAAUUUUCAUUUUGACCAUAUCGAAUGAAAAGUCUUCUUCCACUUAUAAUUUGUAGAAUCAAAACUCCAAAACUGUAGACAUCAGAUUUAGUGGAGUAGACGCCUCUUCCAACAUAUUCAGGAGGAAUAUAGCCUCUGUAGUAUCGAGUAAUUACAAAUAUUACUAAAACUAUUUGACGUAAAAGAUUAAGUUGAUUGGUAAAGGUUCGACAAUAAUAUUAAAGACAAGUCGGAAAAAAAAAGACAAAUAUAUACUUACUGUGUUCCAACAAUUCGAUUUGUUUUUGCUUCAAGAUCAUCUUUCACAAAAAUUCUAGCCAAGCCAAAAUCAGAUAUUUUAGGUUUCAACUCUUCAUCCAACAAAAUAUUACUAACUUUUAAGUCUCGAUGAAUAAUUGUUAAUCUAGAAUAUUCUUGGAGAUAGAGAAGCCCCUGAAUAAUUCCUUGAAUGAUAUGAAUACGUUUUUUCCAAUCCAAAAUAAGCCUUCUGAUGGGAUCUGCAUCAAAUGUAAAUAUAGUUGGACGGUCAGUACCAUUAGCAUUUGGAGACGAGAAAUGCAAAUUGAGGCACAAAAAUUAGAAAUUAAGCAGUUAAGCACAUACCAAAAAGGAAAUAGUCUAAGCUUCGUUUUGGCAUAUACUCAUAGAUGAGCAUAUAUUCUUGUGUGUCAAUGCAAAAACCCAAAACUCUGAUCAGAUUUACGUGUUGAAGCUUUGCAGUAAGCAUAACCUCAUUCUUGAACUCCUCAAAUCCUUGUGUGGAUGUCUUCGAGAGUUUCUUCACUGCUAUUAUUUGUCCAUCAGAUAAUACACCCUGCAAACACGCCCCAAAAUGUUUUUUUUUAAAAGCACUAUGUUCACACACACACACACACACAAACACACGUAGCUUGCACUAAUUAAUUAAUAAGCUUAGAGAUAACCAAGCUACCGAUACAUAACCUUGUAAACAGGACCAUAUCCACCCUCCCCGAGCUUAUUUUCAAUUGAAAAUCUAUCCGUGGCCACCUCAAUAUCAGCCAAGCUAUAUUCUCUGAGAUCAGGAUCAUUGCUGUUAAAAUCUCCAGCAUCUGCUUGACUAUUUGCGCUGUCCUUUGAUGCUUUGGCUGAGUCAAUUACGGUCCAAUUAAUAUCAACCAAGAGAAAGAAAGCUAAUUUAAGUAAAUUGCCCACUUCUUCAUCUGUGUUAAAUGGAAUAGAAGUAAAAAUAUUCCUAAUCCCGUGCAGAAGAAGUUACCUUCUAAUUUGAGGUUUUUCAUCCAGCAGUAGUAAUACAGCAAAAAGCCUAUUAGAAGAAUACAAGCUGUAGUUAUAGGCAAAACAAUUGCCCAUAAUAGCCGCUUAUUUUGUCGAUUCCUUUUAUCCUCUUCAGCUGAAAAGUCAAAUCACUUUGUGUUAUUUAACCACUGAUGGUCAAAUAAAGAUCUUAAUUGAAGUCAUUAUGCAGAGAAGUGAUCGAAUGGGUAGCAGGCAGUGAGUGAGGCUUUGCAUUUGCUUACCUGCAGCUUGAGAAAGCAUCCAAUAAUGAUCACUGGAAACUUCCCACACAUAGUAACCACGUAGCUUCUUCUCCUUGGCAUAUGCAACCUUCACUCUAACGGCCUCGACAUCAUCAAAACCAAACCAAAUCUUCCCAAUCGAGCAGUAAUUCACGACAUAAGUUGAAUUGUACAUUACUUGAACAUUAGGACCAUAGUUCUUGAUGUGAUUCUUGACUUCCUUAUAAGUCACAAGGCCAUCAUCAUGCAAAGCUGGUCCUGUUGCUGCUGCGCCAAUGCCAUUGUCCUCAGGUUUCACAAGCGUCCAUGCAUAGCCAUAGAAAGGCAAACAUAAAACCAAUUUAUCAGCCGAUAACCCUUCCUCAAUCCAU